Molecule: ribosomal RNA, 433 nt
Filed under: uncultured bacterium
Lineage: Bacteria
Description: partial 16S ribosomal RNA
Rfam family: Bacterial small subunit ribosomal RNA
Source: RNAcentral
AGCGAACGCUGGCGGCAGGCCUAACACAUGCAAGUCGAACGGAUCCUUCGGGAUUAGUGGCGGACGGGUGAGUAACACGUGGGAACGUGCCCUUUGGUUCGGAACAACUCAGGGAAAUUUGAGCUAAUACCGGAUGUGCCCUUCGGGGGAAAGAUUUAUCGCCAUUGGAGCGGCCCGCGUCUGUUUAGCUAGUUGGUGAGGUAACGGCCCACCAAGGCGACGAUCAGUAGCUGGUCUGAGAGGAAGAUCAGCCACACUGGGACUGAGACACGGCCCAGACUCCUACGGGAGGCAGCAGUGGGGAAUCUUGCGCAAUGGGCGAAAGCCUGACGCAGCCAUGCCGCGUGAAUGAUGAAGGUCUUAGGAUUGUAAAAUUCUUUCAGCGGGGACGAUAAUGACGGUACCCGCAGAAGAAGCUCCGGCUAACUUCGUG